This 278-nucleotide unclassified non-coding RNA is filed under the name Hevea brasiliensis (rubber tree). Lineage: Eukaryota; Viridiplantae; Streptophyta; Magnoliopsida; Malpighiales; Euphorbiaceae. The record is from RNAcentral.
GUUUUUUUAAAUAUUUUUUUCUUAAUAAAUUAUUAUUUAAAAACUUUAAACUUUGAUAAAAAUCUUCAAAUUUGUUAAAAGAAAAUUUAUAUUGAAAUUGAACUAUAACUAUCUUAAUAUUUUUAUAAAAAAGUAGGCAAAAUGAAGUAAUAUGGCAUUGAAAAUCAACUUUAUCAUAUGACCUUAUCAUGGCAUUGAAGUAAUACUGUUUCCCUCUUAUGGGAGUAUCUGUUAUGUUUGAUAACAAAGGUAGCGUUUUAGAGCCUCUAAAUACUUUU